UCCGCGCGAGUCCUCCCGCUCCUCGAGGGCGAGCUCCAGGCAGGACGGACCCAGGUGCCUUGCCUGCACCACACUAGACCUCCAUUUCUCCUGCUCCUCCGCCGACUCCUGGAUCUUUCCUUGGUGAAUGAUGGUUUGGGGGGCGAAGGGGUGGGUGUCUCGGUGGGGGAGGGUCCUUAACUCCUUCAACUCUGGGGCGAAGUGUGCAGUCGUUACUUAGCCCUUUCUCCACUGUCCCUGUCCCAGGCAUUGGAGGCUCCAAGGCUCCACCCUGGCGGACAGGGUGGGGUGAAGGUGACAGCUAGCUGUAGCUUGGCAAAGAAGCCAGCAAGUGUAAACCUGAGUGUCCUCAGCUAACCUCAGAAUCCAUUGAAUAAAAGGGCCAUGAUCAGGCUUCGGGCUAAAGAGGUCUCCUCUCUGCCUGCGAGCCAGAUCUGGAUCAGAGUUGGGGGUGAGUGACCAAAGACCCCAGCAGCACCUGGUCGUUCUCCUCCCCUUCCACUUCAAGCAGAAUGUGGAAGGAAACAAAAGGGUAAAUCUAGACAGUGACGUUUACCGACUGGAACCUCUUUUCUCUAAGCAUCCUCGUGGAGAUAAAGGAUUCUGAGAGACACCUGGUCCCCUACCAAAAGAUUCUCAAUACUUGUACCAUCAAAGAAUAUCAGAACAGAAAGGAUCCCCACAGCUCACUGGUCCAGUCUUGGUUUACAGAGAAGGACCCUGAGAUCAGAGAGGAGGACAUCUGUCUGUGGUCCUUCAGCAAGCAGGGAGAGCAUCUGAGACCAGCGUCCCAGCCUCCCCAUCCUCAGUCCAACACUCUUCCCCCACCCCACACUCCUUCUGCUUGUGCCUUCCAUUCUGUGACUAACCAGGGAGGAGGGAGCUGAAACAGGCUCCCACCGAAAUAGGCUGCUGCCUGUGCGUGAUUAUGUUGCUAUGAGAACCCCAGUGGGUGUGUUUCCUCCCUUCUCUGUUGAAAUCUUUUGCUUUGCUUGGCUUCUCCCCAAGCACAGAUACGGCUCCCUUUGGAAUGGGGAGUGGAGAGGCUGAGAAGGAGAGCUGUAUUCUCAUGGCAAGAGUUUUCUAUUCCAAUCCAUCUAACCCAGAACCAACCUGGGUCUGAGAAAGUCUAGGCUCCUGGGGUUGUGCCACAGUGGCUGGAGAAGGACUCGAGAGAACCACAUAGAAAGUGGACACUCCAGCCCCUUGUUGAGCCUUCUUGGAGCAGAGAGGCACUGCCCCUGCUCUGCAGCCUCCUACGUACAAAUUUACAAGCAAAAUAACUGUAUCUUUAAGACACCAAGUGUGUCAUACAGUGGGAGAUUGCUUGAACACCCACCUUUUAGAUUUGUAGAAUGUGUGAUGUGUGAAAAGUACCCAGCACACAGUAAGAACUUCGUAGUACCGUUUUCUCAUCACCUCCACCAUUCUGGUGCCUUCAGUCUUGUUCCAUCUCCUCUGCAUCAGUACAGUUAACAUAUUCUUUCACGUGGCUUAACUGGUUUAAUCACACAGAACUGACUAGGCAUUUCUUACAUGCCUAAUUUAAGCUGGACAAGAGGCAACAAAAGACACUGGGCUGAUUACUGAUGAGUUUGUAUUUCAUCACCUUGGAUGCUUUCAAAUGUAUGAACUUGUGCAGAGCUUUUGAAGACCUAGAGGUGACAGAGGUACAAAGAAUUAAAAAGGGUGUGAGUUAAAUGGCUAAUAUGGGACAGUAGAUCCUAUCAGAUAAACAAGUCUUUAAGUCAUAACUUGCUUAUGUUAUUAUGCUUAAGCUAGACCUUCAACCAAAGAAAAUACAUUAAGCAUACAUGUAACAUGCUUUGAGUAAUACCUGUUAACAUUUGCUAGGCUGUAGCCCAGGCAGGUGAAUUAAACUUCAUGGAGCACAUUUGCAGAUCAUUGAUUCUUUUAGACUUACAUGCAUUUCCAUCUAGUCCUUUUGGCAGCCCUUUGAUACUAUUGUAAUAGGUACUAUUACCAUUCCCAUUUAACAAAUGCAAAAAGUCGGGAGCCUAGAGCAUGGCUCGUGGGGUAAAGAGUCAAGAAUGAAAUCUAGGAUGUUUAAUUGCAUACAUAACAUGACCCUCAAGAAGUUAUUGAGCUUCAAGGAACAAGAUAGUACUGGCUCUCAACUUUGGCUGCACAGUGGAAUCAUCUAGGAAACAAAAAUACCAGUGUUUUGUUUCCAUUACCGGUGACUGAUUUAGUGAAGUUUGGGCAUCUGGAUUCUAAUGACUCUAAUUCUAAUGGAUGGUCACAGCUGAAGACAAAUGGAUAAAGAUAUCCAGAGACUAAAAGAACUGCAGAAGAAGUUCCCUAAACCACAGGCAGGGCACUUUAAGUGCCCAAGAACUCUCACACUACGGAAAGGUCUGUAUCCAGCAAGGAAGUAGUUCCCAGGAGCCCAGACUGAACAGGGGCAAGUUGGCAGGCAAAGUUUGGAAUGAGAUCAUUGGAAAGGGCUGAACUGGAAAAGUUAUCCAGCUUUUUGGGAUGCCAUAGAAGAAAUGAGUUUCCAGUUACUCACAUAUUCAGUUAGAAUACUUGGUUAAGAUGUAGAGGAGGUAUAAACAUUAGAGGCUUGAACAAGACCUUUAAGUUUCCUCUGGCCUCCUGCUAGACGCCUAAAAAUGAAGACUGUAGCAGUUCAACUCCAGGGUCCUACCCCGCCUUUCUUUGCUUCCUAUCCAAAUUUAGAGACCUAGAAGCAGGACAUAGCUUCUCUAGGCUGGGGACCGUGCUCCCUGGAAGAACUAGGACUCUAGCUUAUUCCAAUGUGAUAGCUGCAACACGGGGAGAUAUAUAAGACAUUUCAUGUGGCCUCCUCCCUACCCCUCUGCACAUGGCCAGCACUCACAUAUGGCCAUGGCACGCUGCAGUGAGUCCAUGCCUCCUAAGAAUCAGGCCACAGCCAUUAUCCAUCACCACCUUAUGGCAGCUAACCCAGCAGUGCUGAGUGUCUUCUGGGCCAGAUGGGAACCCAGCCAAGGCUGCAGCAGUCAGUUACCUGGCUGAACAUCUACGCAGCUCCACACCUGGGCAGUUCUGCACAAAAGCCUCUGCAGCUCUAUUUCUCUUUAACCCAAGGCCAAGUAUUUCUUAAACUACAUUCCAAAGAACAAAUCAAAAGACUGCUACAAGUGUCUACAAAGCAAUUUGAGUCUCAUUAAAACUGGAAUGUCA
Molecule: long non-coding RNA, 3189 nt
Organism: Chinchilla lanigera (long-tailed chinchilla)
Lineage: Eukaryota; Metazoa; Chordata; Mammalia; Rodentia; Chinchillidae
Exons: 3
Source: RefSeq, a predicted model, not a curated record